Long non-coding RNA from Hyla sarda, 353 nucleotides. RefSeq lists it as uncharacterized. The transcript has 3 exons. Lineage: Eukaryota; Metazoa; Chordata; Amphibia; Anura; Hylidae. The record is from RefSeq and is a predicted model, not a curated record.
GUUUAUGUAGAGGACAGGAGCUUCUUCAGGGUCCUAUACAGUACACACAGUGUCCCAAAUGGAGCCGCCCUCACCUGGUGUCCAAAGGAGCAGCUAACCCUGGCACAGAUGCAAUAUCCAUGUGGGGAGAAAGUCUCCAUGGCUGCCACGUUAGAUGUCCUAUAACAGAGCCAACAUGUUUGAGAAUUCUGCACAAUGAGGGGAAAAUCUAGAAUAUCAGUGACCCAGAGACACCGGGAGUUAGAGAACUGUUGCCUACAUGAUUAGUAUUGAAUUCUACUCCUGGUUCAGUAAAUUCUCCAAAUCAGACUCUAAUUGCCUCUUAUAUUGUUCUUCCAAGCAAUACAAACACA